GACGAACGCUGGCGGCGUGCUUAACACAUGCAAGUCGAACGGAAAGGCCCUGCUUUUGUGGGGUGCUCGAGUGGCGAACGGGUGAGUAACACGUGAGUAACCUGCCCUUGACUUUGGGAUAACUUCAGGAAACUGGGGCUAAUACCGGAUAGGAGCUCCUGCUGCAUGGUGGGGGUUGGAAAGUUUCGGCGGUUGGGGAUGGACUCGCGGCUUAUCAGCUUGUUGGCGGGGUAGUGGCUUACCAAGGCUUUGACGGGUAGCCGGCCUGAGAGGGUGACCGGCCACAUUGGGACUGAGAUACGGCCCAGACUCCUACGGGAGGCAGCAGUGGGGAAUAUUGAACAAUGGGCGGAAGCCUGAUGCAGCAACGCCGCGUGCGGGAUGACGGCCUUCGGGUUGUAAACCGCUUUCGCCUGUGACGAAGCGUGAGUGACGGUAAUGGGUAAAGAAGCACCGGCUAACUACGUG
This 468-nucleotide ribosomal RNA is filed under the name uncultured bacterium. RNAcentral's name for it is "partial 16S ribosomal RNA". It matches the Rfam family "Bacterial small subunit ribosomal RNA", at positions 28 to 507 of the family's 1533-position model. The record is from RNAcentral.